UUAAGCGACUAAGCGUACACGGUGGAUGCCCUGGCAGUCAGAGGCGAUGAAGGACGUGCUAAUCUGCGAUAAGCGUCGGUAAGGUGAUAUGAACCGUUAUAACCGGCGAUUUCCGAAUGGGGAAACCCAGUGUGUUUCGACACACUAUCAUUACGUGAAUACAUAGCGUAAUGAAGCGAACCGGGGGAACUGAAACAUCUAAGUACCCCGAGGAAAAGAAAUCAACCGAGAUUCCCCCAGUAGCGGCGAGCGAACGGGGAGCAGCCCAGAGUCUGAAUCAGCUUGUGUGUUAGUGGAACGGUCUGGAAAGUCCGACGGUACAGGGUGAUAGUCCCGUACACCAAAAUGCACAGGUUGUGAACUCGAAGAGUAGGGCGGGACACGUGGUAUCCUGUCUGAAUAUGGGGGGACCAUCCUCCAAGGCUAAAUACUCCUGACUGACCGAUAGUGAACCAGUACCGUGAGGGAAAGGCGAAAAGAACCCCGGCGAGGGGAGUGAAAAAGAACCUGAAACCGUGUACGUACAAGCAGUGGGAGCCUACUUGUUAGGUGACUGCGUACCUUUUGUAUAAUGGGUCAGCGACUUAUAUUCUGUAGCAAGGUUAACCGUAUAGGGGAGCCGAAGGGAAACCGAGUCUUAACUGGGCGUUAAGUUGCAGGGUAUAGACCCGAAACCCGGUGAUCUAGCCAUGGGCAGGUUGAAGGUUGGGUAACACUAACUGGAGGACCGAACCGACUAAUGUUGAAAAAUUAGCGGAUGACUUGUGGCUGGGGGUGAAAGGCCAAUCAAACCGGGAGAUAGCUGGUUCUCCCCGAAAGCUAUUUAGGUAGCGCCUCGUGAAUUCAUCUUCGGGGGUAGAGCACUGUUUCGGCUAGGGGGUCAUCCCGACUUACCAACCCGAUGCAAACUGCGAAUACCGAAGAAUGUUAUCACGGGAGACACACGGCGGGUGCUAACGUCCGUCGUGAAGAGGGAAACAACCCAGACCGCCAGCUAAGGUCCCAAAGUCAUGGUUAAGUGGGAAACGAUGUGGGAAGGCACAGACAGCCAGGAUGUUGGCUUAGAAGCAGCCAUCAUUUAAAGAAAGCGUAAUAGCUCACUGGUCGAGUCGGCCUGCGCGGAAGAUGUAACGGGGCUAAACCAUGCACCGAAGCUGCGGCAGCGACACUAUGUGUUGUUGGGUAGGGGAGCGUUCUGUAAGCCGUUGAAGGUGUGCUGUGAGGCAUGCUGGAGGUAUCAGAAGUGCGAAUGCUGACAUAAGUAACGAUAAUGCGGGUGAAAAACCCGCACGCCGGAAGACCAAGGGUUCCUGUCCAACGUUAAUCGGGGCAGGGUGAGUCGACCCCUAAGGCGAGGCCGAAAGGCGUAGUCGAUGGGAAACAGGUUAAUAUUCCUGUACUUGGUGUUACUGCGAAGGGGGGACGGAGAAGGCUAUGUUAGCCGGGCGACGGUUGUCCCGGUUUAAGCAUGUAGGCGGAGGUUCCAGGUAAAUCCGGUACCUUUUAACGCUGAGGUGUGAUGACGAGGCACUACGGUGCUGAAGUAACAAAUGCCCUGCUUCCAGGAAAAGCCUCUAAGCAUCAGGUAACACGAAAUCGUACCCCAAACCGACACAGGUGGUCAGGUAGAGAAUACCAAGGCGCUUGAGAGAACUCGGGUGAAGGAACUAGGCAAAAUGGUGCCGUAACUUCGGGAGAAGGCACGCUGAUAUGUAGGUGAAGCGGUUUACCCGUGGAGCUGAAAUCAGUCGAAGAUACCAGCUGGCUGCAACUGUUUAUUAAAAACACAGCACUGUGCAAACACGAAAGUGGACGUAUACGGUGUGACGCCUGCCCGGUGCCGGAAGGUUAAUUGAUGGGGUUAUCCGUAAGGAGAAGCUCUUGAUCGAAGCCCCGGUAAACGGCGGCCGUAACUAUAACGGUCCUAAGGUAGCGAAAUUCCUUGUCGGGUAAGUUCCGACCUGCACGAAUGGCGUAAUGAUGGCCAGGCUGUCUCCACCCGAGACUCAGUGAAAUUGAACUCGCUGUGAAGAUGCAGUGUACCCGCGGCAAGACGGAAAGACCCCGUGAACCUUUACUAUAGCUUGACACUGAACACUGGUCCUUGAUGUGUAGGAUAGGUGGGAGGCUUUGAAGUGUGGACGCCAGUCUGCAUGGAGCCAUCCUUGAAAUACCACCCUUUAAUGGCUGGUGUUCUAACGUGGACCCGUUACCCGGGUUGCGGACAGUGUCUGGUGGGUAGUUUGACUGGGGCGGUCUCCUCCUAAAGAGUAACGGAGGAGCACGAAGGUUAGCUAAUCCUGGUCGGACAUCAGGAGGUUAGUGCAAAGGCAUAAGCUAGCUUGACUGCGAGAGUGACGGCUCGAGCAGGUGCGAAAGCAGGUCUUAGUGAUCCGGUGGUUCUGAAUGGAAGGGCCAUCGCUCAACGGAUAAAAGGUACUCCGGGGAUAACAGGCUGAUACCGCCCAAGAGUUCAUAUCGACGGCGGUGUUUGGCACCUCGAUGUCGGCUCAUCACAUCCUGGGGCUGAAGUAGGUCCCAAGGGUAUGGCUGUUCGCCAUUUAAAGUGGUACGCGAGCUGGGUUUAGAACGUCGUGAGACAGUUCGGUCCCUAUCUGCCGUGGGCGCUGGAGAAUUGAGGGGGGCUGCUCCUAGUACGAGAGGACCGGAGUGGACGCAUCACUGGUGUUCGGGUUGUCAUGCCAAUGGCAUUGCCCGGUAGCUAAAUGCGGAAGAGAUAAGUGCUGAAAGCAUCUAAGCACGAAACUUGCCCCGAGAUGAGUUCUCCCUGACUCCUUGAGAGUCCUGAAGGAACGUUAAAGACGAUGACGUUGAUAGGUCGGGUGUGUAAGCGUAGCGAUACGUUGAGCUAACCGAUACUAAUGAACCGUGAGGCUUAACCUU
Molecule: ribosomal RNA, 2904 nt
Filed under: Citrobacter freundii
Lineage: Bacteria; Pseudomonadati; Pseudomonadota; Gammaproteobacteria; Enterobacterales; Enterobacteriaceae
Also listed under: 1 other name
Description: bacterial LSU rRNA
Rfam family: Bacterial large subunit ribosomal RNA
Source: RNAcentral